RNAcentral lists this ribosomal RNA (544 nucleotides) under uncultured bacterium. RNAcentral's name for it is "partial 16S ribosomal RNA". It matches the Rfam family "Bacterial small subunit ribosomal RNA", at positions 355 to 891 of the family's 1533-position model. The record is from RNAcentral.
UGGGGAAUUUUGGACAAUGGGCGAAAGCCUGAUCCAGCAAUGCCGCGUGUGUGAAGAAGGCCUUCGGGUUGUAAAGCACUUUUGUCCGGAAAGAAAUCCUUGGCUCUAAUACAGUCGGGGGAUGACGGUACCGGAAGAAUAAGCACCGGCUAACUACGUGCCAGCAGCCGCGGUAAUACGUAGGGUGCAAGCGUUAAUCGGAAUUACUGGGCGUAAGCGUGCGCAGGCGGUUUGCUAAGACCGAUGUGAAAUCCCCGGGCUCAACCUGGGAACUGCAUUGGUGACUGGCAGGCUAGAGUAUGGCAGAGGGGGGUUAGAAUUCCACGUGUAGCAGUGAAAUGCGUAGAGAUGUGGAGGAAUACCGAUGGCGAAGGCAGCCCCCUGGGCCAAUACUGACGCUCAUGCACGAAAGCGUGGGGGAGCAAACAGGAUUAGAUACCCUGGUAGUCCACGCCCUAAACGAUGUCAACUAGUUGUUGGGGAUUCAUUUCCUUAGUAACGUAGCUAACGCGUGAAGUUGACCGCCUGGGGAGUACGGUCGCAA